UGAAGGCAGUGACACGUCUUCAAAAUUUACUGCAUAACUCGUAAUCAAAAUGAAAUUCCAGAAAGUGUUCAACAUGUGAAUUUAAGCUUACGCAUGACCCGUUCAAAUGAAAGUGGUUUGGAAGAAAAUGGACCCAUUUUGCUCAUUAAAAAUCCAUGGUGACAGAGGCAUAAAUUCUGAGUUUUUAUAAAAUCUAUCCACAGUGAUAUUUCUUCAUAAAACAAACUAUAACUUUCAAUCCAAGAAAAAUUUCAAAACAGUUUCUAAUGCAAAUUUUAGUCCAUUCAAGGAGAUUUCAAAUGGCUAUGGUGUGAUCGAAAAUAAACUUUGUUUGAUUAAUUAAAAUCAGUGACCAUAAUACUAUUAGUGAAAAAUCUAGGAAAACAUUCGACAGUGAUAUACCCUCUCAAUUUGAAACAUAACUUCAUUUUCGUAAAGAAUUUCGGCAGUGGGAAAAACUAAAUAUUUUUCUAGACUCGCAUAUUUCCAAUGGCAGUAAUUUUGUGUCAUUUGGACUCCAAUUUCAAAGUCAAAUUCUCAAUACAACAUAAGUUACAUUCCUGGAAAUUACCACAGUCUGCUAAAAGUGAUAUACACACAUAGAACGAGCCCUAUCUUCCAAACUGUCAAGAAUUUCAGUUAUUCAUACACACCAAACACAAAGUAGACUCAUAUGCCUUUCAAAUGGUGGAGAUUUGAGACCAAUUGGAUAUCAUUUGCUUAGUCAAACGUUCAUCACAAGAGUGUGUAAAUUCCCUGGAAUUCCAUUUCACAGUUUUGGCAUACUUCAGAAAAUGACUAAUAACAUCCAAACUAAAAUAGAUAUUAAAACAAGGUAUUUUCCAUCUUAAAAUUGCAUAACCAUCAUAGAUAUUUUCAUUACUCUACAUAUCAUACAAAUAAGAGUCACAGUUCUGGAAAAUACAAAGCACAUUUCAACCAGAUCUCAAUGUCAUACAUUUACACACAUAUUUACCAUCACAUCCAUAUUCAUGCUUGGACUUCACACUUUGAUGAUCUAAAUAGCAUUCAACAAAAUAAAUUAGAAAACAUGGAAGCUAGAUCCACUUACCUACUGCAAAUGAAACUCCAAAUUCUUCCUCCAACUUCACCUUAACUGCCCAGCUCUAAUGGCUAAUGUCCAAGCUUAAGGAACAAUGUUUGGAGAGCUCAAAUGACCAAGGGAGGAGAGGUGAACGUGGGUGAGAGAGUUAAAAACCCCAUUUCAUGGGUGGUGAGGUGAAUAAAUAAUCACAUAUAGUGGCAGCAUGCAAUGGACAAGUAGUGGUAGCAUGAACCAAGUGGCAUCACACAAAUAACAAGUGGUAUGCAAGAGGAGAGAGAGAAGGGCAAGCGUGGGGGACAUCAUUAUUAUGGACCCAGCAAGCAUGGGAGACAAGCAUCAUUGUGGGUACGACAGCCUUUACCCAUUGGCACACAUGAAAGAGAAGAAACUCCUUAGACUACGAUACCCCACCCGCGUGGCCACAUGCUCCUCAACCCGCACCCUCAACAAGCGCAGCGAUAACCUCUUACUCCAGUGGCAAUACUCCCUUAGGCACGUGGCGAUCCUCCCAUGUGCGUGUGGCGAUACUCCUUCGUCUUCACGCUCAGCAUUAGCCCAGGUGGCGUUACUCCAAACGGCGAUGCUCCACACGACGAGGCUCCACACUACGAUGCUUCUCACAGCGAGGCUCCACAAGGCGAUGCUCCACAUGGCGAUGCUCCUCACGGUGCUACACUUGCGGCACUGCCUCUUACGCGCACGAUGAUACUUCCAUUGGCGCACGAUGAUAGCCUUCUUCCUUAGCGGCGGGUGUGGGCUUCCCCCUCCCUACAGUCGUGAGUAACUUAAGUCUCAAAAAAUUGGGUUCCUUACAUGUAACGACCCAAAUUUUUAGAACUGAUAAAAUAGUAAUAACAAAAUGGUGAUGGUCCAUUUCAUUAGUAUGGAGUUUUGCUCCACUCUUUGCUUGUAAUAUUUUCAUGGUUUAUUUUGCAUACCUUAGGUGGCAAAACUUAUACCUUAGGUGGCAAAACUUAUGUGAAGACAAUUUUUUUAUGAACUGUACACUUUAAAACGCCCCUCUCCCAUGCUAUACUCUCUCUCAUGUCAACACUCCUUUUGAUUUUCUAUUGACAUCUCUUAGUGAGGUGUCACAAAAAGUACUCUCUCUCUUUCGUACAUGAAAGUCACCAUAUAACUCUCUACCUUUCUCUCUCGCUCUGCUUUUAACAUUCCCUCCUCUCUCUAUAUAAUUCCCACCUUUACGUCCUUAAAGCAUCACUCUCUCUCUCUCUCCCUCUCUAAGGCGAGACAAGUGAAGGGCUUGAGGAGGUUCUCUUACCUCACAAGUGGUAGAAGCAGGGUGAGGCAGUGGAAGUGCUUUUGUGGGAAAAGGAAUUUAAGGUUGUGUGCAUCUAAGGUAAGGGUAUUUAGAAGUGUGCAUCAUGAAUGUUUUGUGCAUAGUGUUUGGAUGUAUGCAUGUGUAAGAUUGAAUUUGUAAACCUUGAAGUUGUAUGUUAGAAACCAUGGGUUUGUAAUCUUUAUGAAC
This 2555-nucleotide long non-coding RNA is filed under the name Amborella trichopoda. Its description in RNAcentral is "long non-coding RNA (ATRI_LNC002486)". The record is from RNAcentral. Lineage: Eukaryota; Viridiplantae; Streptophyta; Magnoliopsida; Amborellales; Amborellaceae.